AACACCGACCGUCCCCGAGCGCUAGAAACGGACGUUAAAGACGGAAAUAAAUCGUGAAAACGUUUAGAAAAAAAUGUCCGUUUGAGUGCGAGACAGAAAACCGUGUCUGAUCAGCCUAAAGUAGUGUGAUUUGCGUAAUGCUUCUCCAUUGAAGUCGCGUGCCGCGAGACAUGAAUUGAGAAAUACGACAAUGAAUGAAUGCACUUGUUGGUCGGAUGUGGGUGUGUCGCAGAUGGAGAUGUAUUACCUGUCCGUUAGUCUUGGCGGCAGCCGGGUCAGCAUCGGCGGCUUUCCCCUCCACAGCCACUCCUCCCUUUGAUGCCUGGGAUCCCAUUAUUCUUGAUGUGGUUUUAAAGUAAAUGAAAAACAACUCAAAUUCAGGUAGGUGGG
This is a long non-coding RNA of Carassius gibelio (silver crucian carp), 390 nucleotides long. RefSeq lists it as uncharacterized. The transcript has 2 exons. The record is from RefSeq and is a predicted model, not a curated record. NCBI's taxonomy places the organism in Eukaryota, Metazoa, Chordata, Actinopteri, Cypriniformes, Cyprinidae.